Molecule: long non-coding RNA, 312 nt
Filed under: Homo sapiens (human)
Lineage: Eukaryota; Metazoa; Chordata; Mammalia; Primates; Hominidae
Description: HSALNT0327407
Source: RNAcentral
ACUCCUCGUCUCACCCAUGAGAGCGAGCUGCCUUCUGUCUGGUUGGGCGAUUCCUGCAGGGCCUGAGCCUCCGCAGAGCCCGGCGUUCAAGGAGAAAAAAGGAGCCGCGGAUGGCCCAUGUUCUAGAACUACAUCCUCGGUCACUGUCCCAGUACAGCCAUCUGUAGCACCUCCUCAGUAACUGACGGUGAUGUUCCUUUCCCUACGCUGUUUAUACCAUCAGCCUGGGGUUUUCUUUGGAGGUGACACAAAGAACAAUAAGAAUGUAAGGUCAUCUAGGCAAGAAACCUGUCUUUCCACUCCUCUGCAUGA